RNAcentral lists this ribosomal RNA (253 nucleotides) under uncultured bacterium. Its description in RNAcentral is "partial 16S ribosomal RNA". It matches the Rfam family "Bacterial small subunit ribosomal RNA", at positions 524 to 776 of the family's 1533-position model. The record is from RNAcentral.
UACGAAGGGGGCUAGCGUUGCUCGGAAUUACUGGGCGUAAAGCGCGCGUAGGCGGCUUUGCAAGUCGGAUGUGAAAUCCCCAGGCUUAACCUGGGAACUGCAUUCGAGACUGCAUUGCUAGAGUAUGGGAGAGGGAAGUGGAAUUUCCGGUGUAGCGGUGAAAUGCGUAGAUAUCGGAAGGAGCAUCAGUGGCGAAAGCGAUUUCCUGGACCAAUACUGACGCUCAUGUGCGAAAGCGUGGGGAGCAAACAGG